This 490-nucleotide ribosomal RNA is filed under the name uncultured bacterium. RNAcentral describes it as "bacterial SSU rRNA". It matches the Rfam family "Bacterial small subunit ribosomal RNA", at positions 28 to 477 of the family's 1533-position model. The record is from RNAcentral.
GACGAACGCUGGCGGCGUGCCUAAUACAUGCAAGUCGAACGCACUCUCGUUUAGAUUGAAGGAGCUUGCUCCUGAUUGAUAAACAUUUGAGUGAGUGGCGGACGGGUGAGUAACACGUGGGUAACCUGCCCUAAAGUGGGGGAUAACAUUUGGAAACAGAUGCUAAUACCGCAUAAAACCUAAACACCGCAUGGUGUAGGGUUGAAAGAUGGUUUCGGCUAUCACUUUAGGAUGGACCCGCGGUGCAUUAGUUAGUUGGUGAGGUAAAGGCUCACCAAGACCGUGAUGCAUAGCCGACCUGAGAGGGUAAUCGGCCACACUGGGACUGAGACACGGCCCAGACUCCUACGGGAGGCAGCAGUAGGGAAUCUUCCACAAUGGACGAAAGUCUGAUGGAGCAACGCCGCGUGAGUGAAGAAGGUUUUCGGAUCGUAAACUCUGUUGUUGGAGAAGAAUGUAUCUGAUAGUAACUGAUCAGGUAGUGACGGUA